GCUCAGGACGAACGCUGGCGGCGUGCUUAACACAUGCAAGUCGAACGAUGAAACCGCUUCGGUGGUGGAUUAGUGGCGAACGGGUGAGUAACACGUGGGCAAUCUGCCCUUCACUCUGGGACAAGCCCUGGAAACGAGGUCUAAUACCGGAUAACACUCUGAUCCGCAUGGGACGGGGUUGAAAGCUCCGGCGGUGAAGGAUGAGCCCGCGGCCUAUCAGCUUGUUGGUGGGGUAAUGGCCUACCAAGGCGACGACGGGUAGCCGGCCUGAGAGGGCGACCGGCCACACUGGGACUGAGACACGGCCCAGACUCCUACGGGAGGCAGCAGUGGGGAAUAUAGCACAAUGGGCGAAAGCCUGAUGCAGCGACGCCGCGUGAGGGAUGACGGCCUUCGGGUUGUAAACCUCUUUCAGCAGGGAAGAAGCGCAAGUGACGGUACCUGCAGAAGAAGCGCCGGCUAACUACGUGCCAGCAGCCGCGGGAAUACGUAAGGAACAAGCGUUGUCCGGAAUUAUUGGGCGUAAAGAGCUCGUAGGCGGCUUGUCACGUCGGAUGUGAAAGCCCGGGGCUUAACCCCGGGUCUGCAUUCGAUACGGGCUAGCUAGAGUGUGGUAGGGGAGAUCGGAAUUCCUGGUGUAGCGGUGAAAUGCGCAGAUAUCAGGAGGAACACCGGUGGCGAAGGCGGAUCUCUGGGCCAUUA
This 702-nucleotide ribosomal RNA is filed under the name Streptomyces sp. AEM04. RNAcentral describes it as "bacterial SSU rRNA". It matches the Rfam family "Bacterial small subunit ribosomal RNA", at positions 22 to 739 of the family's 1533-position model. Lineage: Bacteria; Bacillati; Actinomycetota; Actinomycetes; Kitasatosporales; Streptomycetaceae. The record is from RNAcentral.